This is a long non-coding RNA of Solanum dulcamara, 3508 nucleotides long. RefSeq lists it as uncharacterized. The transcript has 3 exons. The record is from RefSeq and is a predicted model, not a curated record. Lineage: Eukaryota; Viridiplantae; Streptophyta; Magnoliopsida; Solanales; Solanaceae.
UAUUAUUGGUUAAUUUAGUGGGUCAUAUAUUCCGUAAGUUUCUCUAGUUCGUUGAGUUUUUUAAUUCCUAUUUAAAGAGUCCUAUGUAACUUUGUUUAUCAGAAUGAAUGAAACGUACCUUCUCUGCAAUUGUCGUCUUCUCAUACAUUGCUCUUUCUUUCUUCUAUUCCCAAACAAGUUUGAUAUCAGAGAGAGAGAGAGUUAAACCAAUAGUGUAUUUUUAAUUUUUCUCUCUAUCCAGGUUAGGUUAAAUUGGGAGGUAAGGCAAGAGCAAGAAGAAAAAUCAAGAUUGAGGGCAAAAAAAUUGGCUACCAAUGAGCAUCUACCACAUUUCAGCAACUACUUCCCAUCUUUAAUGGGGAUAAAUAUGAAUUCUGGAGCAUAAAGAUGAAGACUUUGUUCAAGUCUCAAGAAUUGUGGGAUUUGCUGGAGAAUGAUUAUGCUGAGGAAGAUGAAGCACAAAGGUUGCGGGAGAACAAAAAGGACUCCAAGUCUCUAUUUUACGUCCAGCAAGCGAUGCAUGACUCAAUCUUUUCUAGAAUAGCUGCUGCAGAAACCUCAAAGCAGGCUUAGGAUAUUCUGAAUAAAGAAUUCACGGCUCGACAAAGGUAAUGACUGUCAAACUCCAGCCAUGAAAAGUAGUGAAUCUGUGCAAGGCUACUUAUCUCGGGUGAGUACAAUUGUUAAUCAUAUGAAGGCAUACGGUGACAAAAUUAUUGAUGAAACUGUAGUUUCUAAAGUUUUGAGAAGUCUUAAUAUAAGAUUUGAUUUUGUCGUAGAUGUCAUUAUGGAGUCCCAUGAUUUAUCUAAUUAUUAUUUUGAUGAAUUGAUGAGUUCAUUGCAAGUUCAUGAGGAUAGACUGAAUGUUUCUCAAGAAAAGGGUGAAGAGAAGGCAUUUCUGAUCAAGGGGGAGUCUUCUUUCAAAGGCAAAUCAAAAGUUUCAAAUGUUAGAGGAUACAGAGGCAGAGUUUCUGUGGUCAAGGUCAUGGCAGAGGAUGAGCUCAAUUUGGUGGUGACCACCGGCAGUUUAAGAGCAAUAUUUAGUGCCGCUAUUGCAGAAAAAUGGGGCACAAGGAAGCUGAUUGCUGGACUAAAUAGAAGGAUCAACAACAUGCCAAUUUCACUGAGUAACAACAGAAGGAGGGUAAUUUGUUUAUGGCUCUCUCCUCAGUAGAUGAUGGUUCCGAUGAUGAAUGGAUCAUUGAUAGUGGUUGGUCUAAUCACAUAUCUGGCAAAAGGUCACUGUUCAGAGAACUUGAUGAAUCAGAGAAGUCAGAAGUUCGUUUUGAAAAUGACAAGGCAAUGAAAGUCAACGUAAAAGGAAAUGGUAUUCACAGAGAGCUCACAGCACCAUAUACACCGGAUCAGAAUGGUGUAGCUGAACGAAAAAAUCAGACAGUCGGUGAAAUGGGCAGAAGCAUGAUGCAAGCUAGAGGUGUUCCUAGCCUGAAGCUGUUGCUAUUGCUGUCUACGUACUGAACAUUUCACCCACCAAAUCUGUUCUUAAUCAAACACCAUAUGAAGCAUGGAGAGGUAGCAAGCCCAAGGUAAGCCACUUAUGUGUCUUUGGAUAUAUAGCUUAUUCUUUGGUGAAUUCACAUGCUAGAUAUAAGCUUGAUGAAAAGUCAAAAAAAUGUAUCUUUGUUGGAUAUAGCACACAAUCCAAAGCUUAUAAGCUAUAUGAUCCACUGAGUGGCAAAAUUGUGAUCAGUAGAAAUGUUAUGUUUAAUGAAGAUGCUAGAUGGAACUUUGAUUCUGGGAAUGUUAGUUCGAAUAUUAAAUUGUCGCCUACUGAUGAAGUUUUUGAGCAAGAACCUGCAGCAGUUUUCAUUCCAGGGAACUCAUCCAGUUCUUCUCCAGCAAGUAGCAGCCUUUCUAUUCCUCAAUCAAGCACCUCUGCUCCAGCAAGUGAUCAUUGCAUAACCCCCCAAAGAAGUAGCAGCAAUUCUUCUUCAAUAGACUCUUCAAGUGAGACUCCACUAGCGAAAUUCAGAUUGUUGAGGAAGAUUUAUGAAAAUUGUUCUUUUGCUUUGUAUGUUGCAGAACCCACUUGUUUUAAGGAAGAUGCAGAGAGUCAAGUAUGGAAAAAUACAAUGAUAGAAGAGAUGCUAGCAAUUGACUAGAAUCAGACAUGGGAGUUGGUAAAUCUACCGGAAGGAAAGGAAACCAUUGGACUCACAUGGAUGUUCAAAAUCAAGUGUCACGCAGAUGGGAGCAUACAAAGAUACAUAGCAAGGCUCGUAGCUAAGGAAUAUGCACAACAUCAAGAUAUUGAUUACGAUGAAACGUUUUCACCUGUUGCUCUCUUUGAAACAGUGAGAAUACUCUUAUCUUUGGCUGCUAACUAAGCUGGCCCGUUAUCAAUUUGAUGUUAAAUCUGCAUUCUUAAAUGGGGAUUUGGAAGAGGAGGUUUAUAUUUCCCAACCUGAGGGUUUUGUUACUAGUGGCAAUGAGAAAAAAGUAUACAAGCUCAAGAAGGCCAUUUAUGGGCUAAAACAAGCGUCACAGGCAUGGUACAACAAAAUUGACUCAAUACUUUCUGAGGAAUGGAUUUUAAAGGAGCGAAAAUGAGCUUACGCUAUAUGUAAAGAAACAAGUAUGUUGUCUAGGUAUAUACAUUGUUCUACCAACCAACAUCUUGGUGAUGCCAAAAGAGUUUUGCGUUAUGUUGCUGGGACCGUUGAUUUCGAAAUUUGGUACUCCAAAGAUGUGGAUUUCAGCUUGAAAGGGUAUAGAUAGUGAUUGGGAAGGAAGUAUAGAUAACAGAGAGAGUACUUUCUGAAAAUGUUUUCAGUUUAGGAUCUGGAGCGAUUCCUUGGAGUUCAAAGAAGCAGGAUGUGGUUGCAUUAUCAUCAUCGAAAGCAAAGUAUGUUGUUGUAACUUCAGCAGUAUGUCAGGCCUUAUGGUUACGAAGAUUAUUAGUUGAUGUUUUCCAUCGGCAAGAGGGUGCGAUAAAAAUAUUCUGCAAUAACAAGGCAACAAUUGCAAUGACAAAGAAUCCGGAUUUUCACAGCAGAACAAAGCACAUCGACAUCCGUUAUCAUUUCAUUCGUGACCACACAUCAAAAGGUGAUAUAGAGUUGAAGUGUUGCGGUACAAGGGAUCAAAUUGCAGAUGUUCUCACCAAGGCACUCCCACAAGCCAAGCAUGAUCAUUCAGGCAGAAACUUGAAGUUUGUUAAUUUGAAUCAAGGGGGAGUGUUUUAUAUUGAUUCAAAGGUAAUUAAUGGUUCCUAUUUAGUUGGCAGAGUAACACGUUUGUUAGGAGUCCUAGUUGAGUCAAAGCAGAUCUUUAUUAGUUGCUAAUAUUUAGAUUAGUGGAUUAUUAUUGGUUAAUUUAGUGGGACAUGUAUUUCGUAAGUUUCUCUAGUUGGUUGAGUUUUUUAAUUCCUAGAGCCCGUUUGGAUUGACUUAAAAAAAGUAACUUUUAUGUAUGAAGUGCUUUUAGAACUUUGAAGUGCUGAAAGUUAUUUUUAUAAAUAAGCAGUUGAGUGUUUGGAUAAAAGUGC